UGAGGAAUAUUGGACAAUGGAUGGAAAUCUGAUCCAGCCAUGCCGCGUGAAGGAAUACGGUCCUAUGGAUUUUAAACUUCUUUUGUAUGGGAGCAAUAAGCAUUUCGAGAAGUGCGAUGAGAGUACCAUACGAAUAAGCAUCGGCUAACUCCGUGCCAGCAGCCGCGGUAAUACGGAGGAUGCAAGCGUUAUCCGGAUUUAUUGGGUUUAAAGGGUGCGUAGGCGGUUACUGUAAGUCAGUGGUGAAAUUUUGAUGCUUAACAUUAAAAGUGCCAUAGAUACUGCAGAGCUGGAAUGGGGAUGCUGUCAGCGGAAUGUGUAGUGUAGCGGUGAAAUGCAUAGAUAUUACACAGAACACCGAUUGCGAAGGCAGCUGACAAAUCCUUAAUUGACGCUGAUGCACGAAAGUGUGGGGAUCAAACAGG
RNAcentral lists this ribosomal RNA (425 nucleotides) under uncultured prokaryote. RNAcentral's name for it is "bacterial SSU rRNA". It matches the Rfam family "Bacterial small subunit ribosomal RNA", at positions 355 to 776 of the family's 1533-position model. The record is from RNAcentral. RNAcentral also lists the same sequence under 1 other name.